Saccostrea cuccullata (small rock oyster) is the source of this 336-nucleotide long non-coding RNA. RefSeq lists it as uncharacterized. The transcript has 3 exons. The record is from RefSeq and is a predicted model, not a curated record. NCBI's taxonomy places the organism in Eukaryota, Metazoa, Mollusca, Bivalvia, Ostreida, Ostreidae.
GAUUGCUAUAUUUGCUUUCUUUGGGAAAAGGGAUAUCCUAUGGCGAGGAAUGCUCAUACAGUGAACAAUGUAAUUUUUAUGGAGGAGUUUGUACGAGAAAACAUAAAUGUUCAUGUAGUUUUGGUCAUGUAUACGACGCCAAAGGAAAGACUUGUCAUCAAGUUGGAAAGGUAGUUGGGGCUACAGUAGGAGCUGGCAUUUCCGGUCUUAUUAUCGGCGUUUUGGUAGGAUCUGUCACAAUGUUUCUUACUCUGAAGAAAUUUGGACAAGAUAACAGAAACAAUAACUUAAUACUUCAACCUGUGGCUGAUACAUCUUUUAUCGGCGUCCAUUAAU